UGGGGAAUUUUGGACAAUGGACGCAAGUCUGAUCCAGCCAUGCCGCGUGCGGGAAGAAGGCCUUCGGGUUGUAAACCGCUUUUGUCAGGGAAGAAACGAGUUUCUCUAAUACAGAGACUUAAUGACGGUACCUGAAGAAUAAGCACCGGCUAACUACGUGCCAGCAGCCGCGGUAAUACGUAGGGUGCAAGCGUUAAUCGGAAUUACUGGGCGUAAAGCGUGCGCAGGCGGUUAUGUAAGACAGAUGUGAAACCCCCGGGCUCAACCUGGGACCUGCAUUUGUGACUGCAUAGCUAGAGUACGGCAGAGGGGGAUGGAAUUCCACGUGUAGCAGUGAAAUGCGUAGAUAUGCGGAGGAACACCGAUGGCGAAGGCAAUCCCCUGGGCCUGUACUGACGCUCAUGCACGAAAGCGUGGGGAGCAAACA
RNAcentral lists this ribosomal RNA (427 nucleotides) under uncultured bacterium. RNAcentral describes it as "bacterial SSU rRNA". It matches the Rfam family "Bacterial small subunit ribosomal RNA", at positions 355 to 774 of the family's 1533-position model. The record is from RNAcentral.